UGUUUUCUUUUUUGCAGCUAAGGAUGUUUUUGCUCGGAUACAGUGCGGGCUGACCCGAGGUCGGCGGAGCAACAGGCGGGCGGGUAGGGCUGCGCCAGGGGGCCACGGCUGGGUCAGGAGGACCCGGAGGAAGGGGCAGACACCCGGGACCUUUGCUCUCGUCCUCCACGCCAAGCCCAGACAUCGGCCCACCCCAGGAGUGGGGGGAAAUGAUGAAAGGCGUGACGCGCUUAACCUGCAAACAGGAGGUGUGUUGCAUGACACACCCCCCCCACACACACACAAGCACCCCAGCACCAACCGCACGGAAAAGGGAGAAGCAGAGCAAUAGUAUGUCCUUCAGGCGAAAGUUGGAAACAUUCUAACAGGCUCCAACAACUCUGCUUGAUUUUUCCUGUUAUUCUGAACUUUAACAGAGAUUUUGGAUCAGGAACAGAGACAAUGCCAGGAAUUGCUCUCACAAAGCUGCAGAUGAUUCACAAAGAUCAGAACCCUCAGGCUGGUCCCUACAGCCGGUCCCGCCUCCCCGUGGUCCCUGGGGAGCACUAGCUCGGGACAAACCUGGGCACAAACCUUCCGGAAA
Sorex araneus (European shrew) is the source of this 583-nucleotide long non-coding RNA. RefSeq lists it as uncharacterized. The transcript is spliced from 3 exons. The record is from RefSeq and is a predicted model, not a curated record. Lineage: Eukaryota; Metazoa; Chordata; Mammalia; Eulipotyphla; Soricidae.